GUUAGUCGGCCCCUAAGGCGAGGCUGAAAAGCGUAGUCGAUGGGAAACGGGUUAUUAUUCCCGUACCACCUUAUAGGAGUGAUGGAGGAACGCAGCAGGUUAACUCAGCCGCCGAUUGGAAAUGGCGGUCUAAGAGUGUAGGUGAUUCCAUAGGAAAAUCCGUGGAUGUUAGCUGAGACUCGAUGGGACAGGAAUACUUCGGUUGAACUGGAUUGGGUGAUACUGUACUGCCAAGAAAAGCUUCUAAACGUUGAAUAUAAGGUGACCGUACCAAAACCGACACAGGUAGGAGGGUAGAGUAUACCAAGGCGCGCGAGAGAAAGGUUGUUAAGGAACUCGGCAAAUUAACCCCGUAUCUUCGGAAGAAGGGGUCCUGUUGGAGGCUAAGGACUUGCUCCUGAUGUUUCUAACAGGCGCAGUGAAGAGGCGAAGGCGACUGUUUAUCAAAAACAUAGCACUAUGCGAACUCGCAAGAGGAAGUAUAUGGUGUGACACGUGACCAAUGCCAAAAGGUUAAGGCAAGGGGUUAGCAUUAGCGAAGCUCUAAACCGAAGCCCUGGUGAAUGUCGGCCGUAACUAUAACGGUCCUAAGGUAGCGAAAUUCCUUGUCGGGUAAGUUCCGACCUGCACGAAUCGUGUAACGAUCUUCGCACUGUCUCAACAACCAUCUCGGUGAAGUUGUAGUUCCGGUGAAAAUGCCGGAUAACCGCGGCAGGACGGAAAGACCCCGUGAACCUUUACUGUGACCUGACAUUGGAUUUUAAUAUUUCAUAUGUAGGAUAGCUGGGAGGCUUUGAAGCAUCUUCGUUAGGAGGUGUGGAGCCAAUGGUGAAAUACCAGUUUUGGCCUAUUGAAAUUCUAACUACGAUCCCCUGAAUCGGGGCGUAGAACAGUGUCUGGGAGUCAGUUUGACUGGGGCGGUUUCCUCCUAAAGAGUAACGGAGGAGCACAAAGGUACCCUCAGCACGGUCAGCAAUCGUGCGAAGAGCGUAUAGGUAUAAGGGUGCUUAACUGCGAGACCUACAAGUCGAGCAGGUGCGAAAGCAGGUCUAAGUGAUCCGGUGGUUGCUAGUGGUAGCGCCAUCGCUUAACGGAUAAAAGGUACUCCGGGGAUAACAGGCUGAUGAUUGCCAAGAGUCCACAUCGACGCAAUCGUUUGGCACCUCGAUGUCGGCUCAUCGCAUCCUGGGGCUGGAGAAGGUCCCAAGGGUU
This 1212-nucleotide ribosomal RNA is filed under the name marine metagenome. RNAcentral's name for it is "bacterial LSU rRNA". It matches the Rfam family "Bacterial large subunit ribosomal RNA", at positions 1379 to 2573 of the family's 2925-position model. The record is from RNAcentral.